GCCAGCGAGUAUUGAUUUUUGUUUCCCAAUCUCCAGGAGAGAAGCAAAGAAAAGAUUAAAAACACUUUGUCAGUUUGGAGUUGAAUAAGAAUUCUGCACAGGGGAGACACCGCAGAGUGCGAGGGGUCACGGCUGAGGGACAUCUUUAUAGCUUUAACUGUUUCUGAACUGGAGCUGAGCCGUCUCACUCACCCAGUGGAAAGACACCGGGUGACCAGGAUAGAACGUGCCUUGCCAGAGACUGACUGCGAGUGUCACAUCGCCGAAGAACGGAAUGUGUCGUGUAUCCUUUCUCCGGGAUAUGCAGCAAAUGCAGAGGGAUGAGCCAGCCUGUUCAGAACCCCACUGGAGUAGUUUCUCUUUGUUCUGUAUUGUAUUGAUCCUCUCAGUGCUUCCUCCCAAUUAGUUAGUUAGUUGUGCUAACUGUUUUUAAACCAGCUGGUAACCCCCCUUUCUCUCUGGCAGCCCAUAGAGCUUCCUCGUGACUUCAUGUCCUUGGAGCUCCCUUAUUCUACUCCUUUCUUUCCUUCUUUCUUUUGGUGUGGAAAACUGCCAAAGGCAAAAAAUACACAGGGCAGUAUACAACCAAUCUGCAAUAAUGUAGCUUAGAGAAUUUGAGCUCCUCAAACAAAAAGCCAAUCAGCACUAACUAGUCAGGUUCCAGUGUGUAAGCUUUCAUCAUUUAAAAUUUAGUGAGUAAGUGACUAUUUUCAUUCUAUAUCUAAGAUAGAAUACCAGACAUUCUAGAUAUGUUUGCAUUAAUACUCUAGAUUCACAUUGCAGGCACCAUUCACAUCGUUAUACAUCUGAAUCACAUUUCCAAGCAGGUCUUCAAGCCGUUAGGAGUAGGAAAUAGGACAUGGCAUUUCUGUAGAUAAAGCUGCUUCUGUAUAGUGUAGGUAGAGGUCUUGGCUGCUGUGCUCUUCACAUCCUUCUCACAAGUAAUCAGAGGAAACAAAUCAGUUUUGGUCAGUGGUCCUUGGGGAGCCGUGAGCAACCGCAUUUAAAUGUAGCUCCGAGACUGUUUGUGCCAAGGGUCAAGAGUCCUUCAGAAAAAAUUACUUGAUUUUGCCAUUAAGGACAUACGCUGGUUUGAAUGGCGCUGAGUGAAUAUUAUCAAAACAUGAGAGGAAAUGUAAUAAUUUGACCUUUUUUUUUGGAUUUAAUUUACCCACAAUCUUGUUUAUUCAAUCCUGCUUGCUUGAUCCUAGCUUUGAGGAGCGGUGCCCUUACGCACUACAUGGGAAUUCACCAAGGUCUUUUAACAGCGGCCCUCUGUCUGCACAAAGUUUGAGCACGUUACGCAACCAGAGAGAGGGGCUCCUCUGAGCACAUUUCUUAAAUGAAGAAAUGUGGGUCAAAAUUUACUGAGCGUUGAGCUGCUAACAAAUUUUGCUCCAGUGAUUUCUGCAGGGAAUGUAAAACUGCUGAUUUGAAGAGAAAAUCU
Anguilla anguilla (European eel) is the source of this 1447-nucleotide long non-coding RNA. RefSeq lists it as uncharacterized. The transcript has 3 exons. NCBI's taxonomy places the organism in Eukaryota, Metazoa, Chordata, Actinopteri, Anguilliformes, Anguillidae. The record is from RefSeq and is a predicted model, not a curated record.